This 70-nucleotide transfer RNA is filed under the name Opsarius bernatziki. RNAcentral describes it as "tRNA-Trp". It matches the Rfam family "tRNA". From Rfam's summary of the family: Transfer RNA (tRNA) molecules are approximately 80 nucleotides in length. Their secondary structure includes four short double-helical elements and three loops (D, anti-codon, and T loops). Further hydrogen bonds mediate the characteristic L-shaped molecular structure. tRNAs have two regions of fundamental functional importance: the anti-codon, which is responsible for specific mRNA codon recognition, and the 3' end, to which the tRNAs corresponding amino acid is attached (by aminoacyl-tRNA synthetases). tRNAs cope with the degeneracy of the genetic code in two manners: having more than one tRNA (with a specific anti-codon) for a particular amino acid; and 'wobble' base-pairing, i.e. permitting non-standard base-pairing at the 3rd anti-codon position. Lineage: Eukaryota; Metazoa; Chordata; Actinopteri; Cypriniformes; Danionidae. The record is from RNAcentral.
CGAGGCUUAGGAUAGCCAAGACCAAGGGCCUUCAAAGCCCUAAGCAGGGGUGAAAACCCCCUAGCCUCCG